RNAcentral lists this ribosomal RNA (784 nucleotides) under uncultured Alphaproteobacteria bacterium. RNAcentral describes it as "bacterial SSU rRNA". It matches the Rfam family "Bacterial small subunit ribosomal RNA", at positions 50 to 880 of the family's 1533-position model. The record is from RNAcentral. Lineage: Bacteria; Pseudomonadati; Pseudomonadota; Alphaproteobacteria.
AACACAUGCAAGUCGAACGGGAUCUUCGGAUCUAGUGGCAGACGGGUGAGUAACGCGUGGGAACCUGCCCAGUAGUAGAGAAUAACUUGAGGAAACUUAAGCUAAUACUUUAUACACCCUUCGGGGAAAAGCUUUAUGCGCUAUUGGAUGGGCCCGCGUUAGAUUAGUUUGUUGGUGAGGUAAUGGCUCACCAAGACUACGAUCUAUAGCUGGUCUGAGAGGAUGAUCAGCCACACUGGGACUGAGACACGGCCCAGACUCCUACGGGAGGCAGCAGUGGGGAAUAUUGGACAAUGGGGGCAACCCUGAUCCAGCGAUGCCGCGUGAGUGAUGAAGGCCUUCGGGUUGUAAAACUCUUUCGUCAGGGAAGAUAAUGACGGUACCUGAAGAAGAAGAUCCGGCUAACUCCGUGCCAGCAGCCGCGGUAAUACGGAGGGAUCUAGCGUUAUUCGGAAUUACUGGGCGUAAAGCGAGCGUAGGCGGAUUUGUAAGUUGGAGGUGAAAUCCCAGAGCUUAACUCUGGAACUGCCUUCAAAACUACAUUUCUUGAGUUUGGUAGAGGAGAGUGGAAUUCCUAGUGUAGAGGUGAAAUUCGUAGAUAUUAGGAGGAACACCAGUGGCGAAGGCGACUCUCUGGGCCAAUACUGACGCUGAGGUUCGAAAGCAUGGGUAGCGAACAGGAUUAGAUACCCUGGUAGUCCAUGCAGUAAACGAUGAGUGCUAGAUGUUGGGAAUUUAAAUUUCCAGUAUCGCAGUUAACGCGUUAAGCACUCCGCCUGGGAAG